This 253-nucleotide ribosomal RNA is filed under the name uncultured bacterium. Its description in RNAcentral is "partial 16S ribosomal RNA". It matches the Rfam family "Bacterial small subunit ribosomal RNA", at positions 524 to 776 of the family's 1533-position model. The record is from RNAcentral.
UACGGGGGGGGCAAGCGUUGUUCGGAAUUACUGGGCGUAAAGGGCUCGUAGGCGGCCAACUAAGUCAGACGUGAAAUCCCCGGGCUCAACCCGGGAACUGCGUCCGAUACUGGAAGGCUUGAAUCCGGGAGAGGGAUGUGGAAUUCCAGGUGUAGCGGUGAAAUGCGUAGAUAUCUGGAGGAACACCGGUGGCGAAGGCGACAUCCUGGACCGGUAUUGACGCUGAGACGCGAAAGCGUGGGGAGCAAACAGG